Non-coding RNA from Brassica napus (rape), 107 nucleotides. The record is from Rfam. Lineage: Eukaryota; Viridiplantae; Streptophyta; Magnoliopsida; Brassicales; Brassicaceae.
AACCCGUGGUGAGGGCAUUCCCUUCGGUACUCCUUAAAACGCUCCCAAGCAUCAUAGAAAGGCUCGUCAGUCUUUUGCUUACAAUUUGAGAUAUUAUGCCCAGAGCU